This 775-nucleotide ribosomal RNA is filed under the name uncultured Neocallimastigales. Its description in RNAcentral is "partial large subunit ribosomal RNA". The stretch from base 5 to 694 matches the Rfam family "Eukaryotic large subunit ribosomal RNA", at positions 24 to 664 of the family's 3401-position model. Lineage: Eukaryota; Fungi; Neocallimastigomycota; Neocallimastigomycetes; Neocallimastigales. The record is from RNAcentral.
CAUAGCGACUAUCGUGGCAUAUCAAUAAGCGGAGGAAAAGAAACUAACUAGGAUUCCCUUAGUAACGGCGAGUGAAGCGGGAAGAGCUCAAAUUUGAAAUCUUCAAGGUUUUACCUUGACGAAUUGUAGUUUAAAGAAGUGUUUUCUGUUGGAGUUUUGGUAAAAGUUCUUUGGAAUAGGACAUCAUAGAGGGUGAGAAUCCCGUAUUUGACCAUUUCUUUCCAACUGUGUGAUACACUUUCAAAGAGUCGGAUUGUUUGGGAAUGCAGUCCAAAAUGGGUGGUAAAUUUCAUCUAAAGCUAAAUAUUGGCGAGAGACCGAUAGCGAACAAGUACCGUGAGGGAAAGAUGAAAAGAACUUUGAAAAGAGAGUUAAACAGUACGUGAAAUUGUCAAAAGGGAAGCGUUUGACACCAGUGUUGUUUUCUCGAAAAUCAAUUAAAAAUGGCCGGAUUUUGUGUUGUAUUGACUUUAUCAGCUUUCUGCACUUUUUUCUUGUCUUUUUUAAUGCACUUUUCGUUUAACAAGUCAACAUCAAUUUCUUUUGUUGUAAAAGAGUCAUUGGAAGGUGGCUUUUUCUUCGGAAAAAGUGUUUAUAGCCUUUGGCUUCUGCAAUCGGAGAGAUUGAGGUCUGCAGCGUAGAUCCCUCGGGGUUAGAUACAUUUGUGCUAAGCUAUAGUUCUUUAUAGACAACUUGUUGACUAUAAUCAAUCCUGUAACUUACUCGCUUAUGCUAUUUUACCUACGCUUAGGAUGUUGAUAGUCACAGCGUGUAC